RNAcentral lists this transfer RNA (73 nucleotides) under Stegodyphus mimosarum. It matches the Rfam family "tRNA". Rfam says of the family: Transfer RNA (tRNA) molecules are approximately 80 nucleotides in length. Their secondary structure includes four short double-helical elements and three loops (D, anti-codon, and T loops). Further hydrogen bonds mediate the characteristic L-shaped molecular structure. tRNAs have two regions of fundamental functional importance: the anti-codon, which is responsible for specific mRNA codon recognition, and the 3' end, to which the tRNAs corresponding amino acid is attached (by aminoacyl-tRNA synthetases). tRNAs cope with the degeneracy of the genetic code in two manners: having more than one tRNA (with a specific anti-codon) for a particular amino acid; and 'wobble' base-pairing, i.e. permitting non-standard base-pairing at the 3rd anti-codon position. The record is from Rfam by way of RNAcentral. Lineage: Eukaryota; Metazoa; Arthropoda; Arachnida; Araneae; Eresidae.
GCCUUCAUGGUGUAGUGGUCAGCAUGUUUGACGCAUAUUCGAGAGGUCUGUGGUUCGAGUCUCGGCGAGGGCA